RNAcentral lists this ribosomal RNA (874 nucleotides) under Myroides odoratimimus. Its description in RNAcentral is "bacterial SSU rRNA". It matches the Rfam family "Bacterial small subunit ribosomal RNA", at positions 650 to 1533 of the family's 1533-position model. Lineage: Bacteria; Pseudomonadati; Bacteroidota; Flavobacteriia; Flavobacteriales; Flavobacteriaceae. The record is from RNAcentral.
UAUGGAAGUAACUAGAAUAUGUAGUGUAGCGGUGAAAUGCUUAGAUAUUACAUGGAAUACCAAUUGCGAAGGCAGGUUACUACGUAUUUAUUGACGCUGAUGAACGAAAGCGUGGGGAGCGAACAGGAUUAGAUACCCUGGUAGUCCACGCCGUAAACGAUGGAUACUAGCUGUUCGGUUUUCGGACUGAGUGGCUAAGCGAAAGUGAUAAGUAUCCCACCUGGGGAGUACGUUCGCAAGAAUGAAACUCAAAGGAAUUGACGGGGGCCCGCACAAGCGGUGGAGCAUGUGGUUUAAUUCGAUGAUACGCGAGGAACCUUACCAGGGCUUAAAUGUAGAUUGACAGAUUUGGAAACAGAUUUUUCUUCGGACAAUUUACAAGGUGCUGCAUGGUUGUCGUCAGCUCGUGCCGUGAGGUGUCAGGUUAAGUCCUAUAACGAGCGCAACCCCUAUUGUUAGUUACCAGCGCGUAGUGGCGGGGACUCUAGCAAGACUGCCGGUGCAAACCGUGAGGAAGGUGGGGAUGACGUCAAAUCAUCACGGCCCUUACGUCCUGGGCUACACACGUGCUACAAUGGCAAGUACAGAAAGCAGCUACCUGGCAACAGGAUGCGAAUCUCCAAAGCUUGUCUCAGUUCGGAUUGGAGUCUGCAACUCGACUCUAUGAAGCUGGAAUCGCUAGUAAUCGGAUAUCAGCCAUGAUCCGGUGAAUACGUUCCCGGGCCUUGUACACACCGCCCGUCAAGCCAUGGAAGCUGGGGGUACCUGAAGUCGGUGACCGCAAGGAGCUGCCUAGGGUAAAACUAGUAACUAGGGCUAAGUCGUAACAAGGUAGCCGUACCGGAAGGUGCGGCUGGAACACCUCCUUUCUAGA